RNAcentral lists this ribosomal RNA (465 nucleotides) under uncultured bacterium. RNAcentral describes it as "partial 16S ribosomal RNA". It matches the Rfam family "Bacterial small subunit ribosomal RNA", at positions 28 to 507 of the family's 1533-position model. The record is from RNAcentral.
GACGAACGCUGGCGGCGUGCUUAACACAUGCAAGUCGAACGGAAAGGCCCCUUUGGGGGUACUCGAGUGGCGAACGGGUGAGUAACACGUGAGUAACCUGCCCUUGACUUCGGGGUAACUUCAGGAAACUGGGGCUAAUACCGGAUAGGAAUCCUUGCUGCAUGGUGGGGGUUGGAAAGCUUCGGCGGUUUUGGAUGGACUCGCGGCUUAUCAGCUUGUUGGUGGGGUAGUGGCUUACCAAGGCUUUGACGGGUAGCCGGCCUGAGAGGGCGACCGGCCACAUUGGGACUGAGAUACGGCCCAGACUCCUACGGGAGGCAGCAGUGGGGAAUAUUGCACAAUGGGCGGAAGCCGGAUGCAGCAACGCCGCGUGCGGGAGGACGGCCUUCGGGUUGGAAACCGCUUUCAGCAGGGGCGAAGCUUGUGGUGACGGUACCUGCAGAAGAAGCACCGGCUAACUACGUG